This is a long non-coding RNA of Helicoverpa armigera (cotton bollworm), 312 nucleotides long. RefSeq lists it as uncharacterized. The transcript is spliced from 3 exons. The record is from RefSeq and is a predicted model, not a curated record. NCBI's taxonomy places the organism in Eukaryota, Metazoa, Arthropoda, Insecta, Lepidoptera, Noctuidae.
AUAAAGUUCACCUGCAACAUAGCUCUUAAUACUUUCAGUUUCACUGACACCUGUGUGCUUAUCAAGAGAACACUUUAAAAAAUCCAAAACUGUGUACCUCACCGGUUUUACAGAUGAAUAUGAAACUCUGGAAAAAGUGAUUCACAAAAUACAAACCUUGGACAAUCCAGUAUGCGAUGGAUUUAAUGAAAGAAGAGGAGUGAUAGACAAGAGCACUAUCCCUACUUCGUACGUGUGUGGGUAUGCGCCUUUCUCCGCAGUAAACUGUUUGUGGGAUGACGGGAUGGCGCUCGUGUCUAACGAUACUGGAAU